AACGCUAGCUACAGGCUUAACACAUGCAAGUCGCGGGGCAGCAUUUUCCUAGCUUGCUAGGGAAGAUGGCGACCGGCGCACGGGUGAGUAACGCGUAUCCAACCUUCCCAUGUCCACGGGAUAGCCCGUCGAAAGGCGGAUUAAUACCGUAUGAGGUCACAUGCGGGCAUCUAAUUGUGACGAAAGGUUUUGCGGACAUGGAUGGGGAUGCGUCCGAUUAGCUAGUUGGCGGGGUAACGGCCCACCAAGGCGACGAUCGGUAGGGGUUCUGAGAGGAAGGUCCCCCACAUUGGAACUGAGACACGGUCCAAACUCCUACGGGAGGCAGCAGUGAGGAAUAUUGGUCAAUGGACGCAAGUCUGAACCAGCCAAGUAGCGUGCAGGAUGACGGCCCUAUGGGUUGUAAACUGCUUUUAUGCGGGGAUAAAGUUAGGGAUGUAUCCCUUUUUGCAGGUACCGCAUGAAUAAGGACCGGCUAAUUCCGUGCCAGCAGCCGCGGUAAUACGGAGGAUCCGGGCGUUAUCCGGAUUUAUUGGGUUUAAAGGGAGCGUAGGCCGCCUUUUAAGCGUGUUGUGAAAAACCGGGGCUCAACUCCGGUCGUGCAGCGCGAACUGGAGGGCUUGAGUCCGCAGAAAGUGCGCGGAAUUCGUGGUGUAGCGGUGAAAUGCUUAGAUAUCACGAAGAACUCCGAUUG
This 694-nucleotide ribosomal RNA is filed under the name uncultured bacterium. RNAcentral describes it as "bacterial SSU rRNA". It matches the Rfam family "Bacterial small subunit ribosomal RNA", at positions 32 to 715 of the family's 1533-position model. The record is from RNAcentral.